UUUUUUUUUUUCACUGAAUGAUAUUGAUAUUAGAUUCGGAAAGGUUACAAUACAUGAGAAAGAAGAGAUUAAACUACGGAGAGACACAAUGCUCGACCCAUAACCUACAAGAGGAAGGAAGAUUUCGAUAAUACAUUGCAAAAAACCAAACUAAUCUUGUCUCAAGACUAACUAAGCUCUUGAAGCUCACCAUAAGGACUUCCCGCACAACAAUCUAUGAAGACGGGUUUCAACACUUAAGGCAAUAACAAGAUAGUGGAACUUGGCCUUCUCGGUAAAAGAUGCAUAUUUCUCAAAUAAUGCCUUGUCACGGGUCUCCCGGAUGAACCGUAAGAUAAUCGAGAACCGCAAGACCUUUCAACGCCACAACUAACAAGUAUUGAAGCCAACCAAAGCUUAAUACUACGGAAUAAACCUCCGAACUGACACAAAGAGCUCAACCCCAAACUAACAUCGAGUAAAUUAGUCGAGGAGGAGAAACUGAAGCCCAAACAAGGGAGACGAUAGCCCAAAAGAGGGGAGCAUUAUAAACGACCCAACACUCCAAAAGCUAAAACUUAAUAAGCGAUUGCAAGAUAUGGGGCUAACGAGAAACAAAGCAAUACAAGAGAGGACAACCGUAGAGACGAAGGAGAUACCAAGUUGUCGAGAGACAGAUCCGAUGUUGCACAGAAUCGCCAAGGGAGAAAAGUAAGCGCCGUCGAGAGGACAAAAGAGAGGUUUUAGAAAACGCCUAACCUCAACGGAGAGAACCACCGGCCAAACCAGAAGCUAUCCGUGACUCCACUUCGUGACACCAGAACGAGAUCGGUGACACCAACAAUCGACCAACAGAUCCAUCAGACUUCUUAUUCAAGCACCCAAAUUAUAACAAAUUAAAAAGACUUUAUUUUUGUUUUGACAUCAGCUCUGACGUAAUUAAUCUCAAACUUAUAUUUGAUGAAUUUAUUUCUUUAGUAUUAGUCCACACAAGACUCUUUCCUAGGCCUGGGCGUUCGGUUUACUCGGGUUAUUCGGUUCGGUUUAAUCGGUUUUUCGGGUUUUUCGGUUUUAUAAAAUUUUGCCGAAUUGAACCGAAUAAUAAUUCGGUUCGGUUUAAUCGGAACUCGGUUUUUUCGGUUCGGUUCUAGGACUAAAAAUCAAUUCCGAAGUAAACCGAAAAUUUUUCUACUUCGGUUUUUUAAAACCGAAUUAGACCAAAAUCAAGAUAAUGGGCUUCGUAAACAGAAAAUUACAAUUACAAACCAAUAAAUAAUGGGCCGAAACAAACAAACCCAAGCCCAAAUUAAAUUACAAUUACAAAUCCAAAUCCAAAAAAAAUUAGGGCUGAUGAAAGCUUGCCGCCGCUACUCUCUUCCUAGCCAACGAGCCGUCGCCGUCGCCGUAGAGAAAUAUUUCUCCGAUGAGAUCUAUCACCAACCAUCAUCAAAACCACAUCGAUUCAAAUCCAUCAUAAAAUUAAGAAAAAAAGGAAAAGAAAAACAAAAACAAAAUUGAAAAUCGUUAGAUCUGAAGACUUACUUUCUGAAAACAAAAUCUGGUCGAAGCUAGUGAUGAACGGCCAACCCAUGUCGAAACUGAACCACGGUAUCGAUGUUGGAGAGUCUAAAAAAGAAGUAAGGAGAAGAAGAAAGAAGUAAGGAGAAGAAGAAAGAGUGGAAAAAGAAGGAUCGUAAAGGAGAGGAGAAGAGAUGAAAUGAAUUAGAUCUAGGGUUUUAUGUUUUUAUACCAUGUUCCCUUAAACCGAAUUAACCGAUCGAUAACCGACUACCGAACCGACCCGAACCGACAUCCGAUUGCCCAAACUAAUUUUGCCGUUCGGUUUGGUCUAAUCUCUUCGGUUUUCGCCGAAAACCGAAAAUCUCGGGUUGAUCGGGUCGGUUUGAUCGGUUUCUGCCGUUUGCCCAGGCCUACUCUUUCCUAGUGAAAUUGAUGGUUUUGUCAUGCUGCUCAAUAA
This 1957-nucleotide long non-coding RNA is filed under the name Arabidopsis lyrata. RNAcentral describes it as "long non-coding RNA (ALYR_LNC001708)". The record is from RNAcentral. Lineage: Eukaryota; Viridiplantae; Streptophyta; Magnoliopsida; Brassicales; Brassicaceae.